This 250-nucleotide RNase MRP RNA is filed under the name Cimex lectularius (bed bug). RNAcentral's name for it is "RNase MRP". It matches the Rfam family "RNase MRP". Rfam says of the family: RNase MRP is an enzymatically active ribonucleoprotein with two distinct roles in eukaryotes. In mitochondria it plays a direct role in the initiation of mitochondrial DNA replication. In the nucleus it is involved in precursor rRNA processing, where it cleaves the internal transcribed spacer 1 between 18S and 5.8S rRNAs. The record is from Rfam by way of RNAcentral. Lineage: Eukaryota; Metazoa; Arthropoda; Insecta; Hemiptera; Cimicidae.
GUGUUGGGCCGAGUCUGACUCAUCGAGGCAACAGACGGGGUCGCUAGUCGGCCGAUAUCGCCUUGGGGAAGUUCCCCGGACCGUUGAACAGAAAUUGUCGUGAUAUAAUUGUCACAGCCUCUGUCGCAGGCGUUCUUUACGGGAAAGGAGUCGAAAGACGAUCCUUGAGGACGCCGGGCUGAGUGCACUGGUCAAAGCAAAGAUGGAAUGUCAGUCCGAGCAACUCAACGGGGGCUACUCCGGUUCAACA